AUGUCUGCUGUGAUCCAGUACAACAAUUCUUAUAAUAUUCAUCGUUUGAUGACUUCUUACUAUGUCUCCAUAGUCAGGACUAUAGCUGUUCACUCAACUGGAAUGGAGCUUAAUGGUGUAAAUUUAAUGGAUACUUCCAACUUGCCCACUACUGUGUCAGUGGAAAUGAUUCCACCCGACCCAGAACUAGAUCAACAGGAAGGUUUAUGUUCCGACCAAAGACCAUUUCACACGGAGAUACCCCAGUGGAUUCAUG
This is a long non-coding RNA of Pecten maximus, 256 nucleotides long. RefSeq lists it as uncharacterized. NCBI's taxonomy places the organism in Eukaryota, Metazoa, Mollusca, Bivalvia, Pectinida, Pectinidae. The transcript has 3 exons. The record is from RefSeq and is a predicted model, not a curated record.